RNAcentral lists this long non-coding RNA (238 nucleotides) under Brassica napus (rape). Its description in RNAcentral is "long non-coding RNA (BNAP_LNC001388)". Lineage: Eukaryota; Viridiplantae; Streptophyta; Magnoliopsida; Brassicales; Brassicaceae. The record is from RNAcentral.
AAAAGACACAACCUUUCAACAUAAUUGAAGUUCACAACCUUAAGAAUUAAUUGGAAAAUACACAACCUUACAACAUAGAACUUUUAGAAAAGACACAACCCUUUACACUACUUUUUCAAAAGACACAACCUUUCAACAUAAGUGGAUUCACAACCUUAGAAAUUAAUUGGAAAAGACACAACCUUCCAACAUAGAACUUUUAGAAAAGACACAACUUUUUACACUUCUUUUUCAAAAG